UCCACGUCAAAUAGUGCCGCCGUCGCCCCCCCCCUCCGCGGGAGGGCUCCCGGCGCCCCCAGCCCGCGCCCCCAGCCACGCCUGGCCCGGAGAGUGGACCCCAGUGCCCCAGCAGGGCCGGCCGCCUCGCUGGCCCUUCGCAGAAGUUUAGGUCGCCUUCGACACAGAUCCCUCUGCCCCACCCCCUUGAAAAAUUGAUUUGGGAGUUGGGGAACGAAGGCUUUUUCUUUUUUCUUUCUUGCCUUCUUUAUUAUUAAUAUUUUGUAAAGCUCCAGUGGUAAGAGGAGUGGCCCCGAGCGAGGCCAGACUGCGCGUACGGCGGGGAGCGCAGCGGCUCCACCAGGGGACGGCGCCGGCCGGGAUCGCGGCCCGGGGACCCCGACUGUCUGCGGAGACAGCGGGGAAACCAGUUCUGAGGGGCUCCAAAUCCUGUUCCACCUCUAACACUUUCAGAGCUCUGACGUCAUGAAUCUGUGAUCACCCAGUGGUGGAAGAACAGUGAUGGCCAGAAUGCUGACAUAGCCAGCCUGUGAUGACAACAUGCUAGAUUUUGCUUGUUCUGAACACCUGCCUCACCACCGAGGAGACCUAGCUCCUUGCAGAGCCUCGUACUUCAGGUGACACAAUCAUCUAGGUAGAAAAUCCACUGUAAUCUACAAGAAAGCUACUAGAACUAAUAGGUGAGUUUAGUAAGGUCUAAGAUGCUAGACUGAAAUACAAAAAUCAACUUUAUUUAUAUAUUGGCAAUGAACAUUCAUAAAUUCAGUUUUUUUUUUUUUUUUUUGGUAGAAACAGAAUCUUAUUUUAUCGCCCUCGGUAGAGUUCCGUGGUAUCACACAGCUCACAGAAACCUCCAACUCCUGGGCUUAGGCAAGACAACCUCCAACUCCUGGGCUUAUGCGAUUCUCUUGCCUCAGCCUCCCCAGUAGCUGGGACUACAGGUGCCCACCACAACGCCCGGCUCUUUUUUUGUUGCUUUUUGGCCAAGUUCCAAGCUGGUUUGGCUGUGUCUUCUGGGGCUACUCCAUUUCCCACCAGCUCCUAAAGCCCAGGAUCUUAGAGGCUGAUGGAGAGGCCGGUGGGCAGGAGGCAUGAGAUGGGUGAAUGGUCAGGGCGCUCUUUGGGCGGUCAGGGAGGCUCUGCAUCUGCAACCCUGGACUAAUCUCAGGCCCGUCUUGGGUACCUUCUCUCUCUCACACUCUGCUCCCAGCCUCAGCUCUCUGUCCGAAGCUCCCAGUUUUCCAGGCCCUUCACCUGCCUCAGCCCCAGUGAUGUUGGGGUGGGUGGGGUGGGGAGGCUGGCUUCUGACAGGCAGCUGAGCUCUCCAGGCUGCAGGCCUGGUCCCUGCUGCCCUCCCACCCCCAUCCCAGCUGGCUCCAGAAGGGAAGUGGGGGUGGGGGCAACUUCACAGGGAAACUUUUGUUCUUGCCUAGAACAGACAUGGGCUGGGGACCGAGCUUCCCCUUGGCUGCCACGGAGACUGGGGCCACUUGAGUUCAUGUUUAUUUUCACAGCGUGGACUCCAUGGAGAUAAUCGGCCCUGACAGGGAAGCCCUGGGAAGAGGGCUUGGGCCUCUGUGGAGCGCCUACUAUGUGCUAGACCAGAGGCAGGCAGGAGCCAGUGGGAUCCACAAGAUAGUCCUGGGGGUUAGUCACUGAGCCGUAUGCGACUGGGAGGAGGCAGCCAAGGUUCAGGGAGGGAAAGUCGCUUGGCCAAGGUCACAGAGCAGGUUAGUGGGGAGCUGGCCGGGGAGGUCACCUGCUCCCUGUUUUCUUUCUACUGUGUACCUGAGGGAACAGCAGAACAACUCAGUCUCCUGAGGCUUCAUGGAGGAAGCACUUCCCAGAGCUCCACGCAGGCCAGAGUCACUGAAGCAGGAGAGAGUAUGGUGUCUCUGCUAGGACAGAAGCUCUGAUCCAGGCAAGGCCUUGGGCAGUGAUUCUCUGCACCUCAGUCUCCUCGUCUGUGAAAUGGGGUAACAACUUGAAGCCCUGCUGGACCCAGCACACUGAGCGUGACUCACCAGGCCAAGCGAGGGCCGCAGGGCAGGCCGGCACCCGAUGCCUGAGGACCCAAGGAAGCAGCCGAAUCACAAACCAAACAUGGAACCAAUAAAGUCUUUAACCUGACACUGCAAACUUCCCACAGACUUCAGAGAAAUACCUCAACAAGUGCACGACCUUUUAGUUUCUCCCCAAGGCUACCUCCUCCUGCAGCAGGGGCUUUCUAAAAUACAGA
Nycticebus coucang (slow loris) is the source of this 2239-nucleotide long non-coding RNA. RefSeq lists it as uncharacterized. The transcript has 4 exons. The record is from RefSeq and is a predicted model, not a curated record. NCBI's taxonomy places the organism in Eukaryota, Metazoa, Chordata, Mammalia, Primates, Lorisidae.